Molecule: long non-coding RNA, 797 nt
Organism: Humulus lupulus (European hop)
Lineage: Eukaryota; Viridiplantae; Streptophyta; Magnoliopsida; Rosales; Cannabaceae
Exons: 3
Source: RefSeq, a predicted model, not a curated record
AAAAAAAAAAAAAAAAAGAGUAGUACUGCUCCUACAAUGAGGUUUAUAAAGGGAAAGAGGAUGGGUUUCAGACACUCCUCCACCGUCUUCUAGGUUGUCUGCUUGGCUGUCGUCAUCCACCAUCGUCCACCGCUGCUUGGCUGUCGUCACCCAACCUCUCGAUCCUAGCUUCUUCGUCUUCUAGAUUUUGGUUAUUCAAUCUUGAUGGAGCUCCCCACACCACAAAGACCUCUACUGCCCUCACCUCAGCCUUUGUCUUCUACUAAGAUGGAUGAGGUGAAAAAAUUUUAUGAGGAACAAAAGAAAGAUUUAUUGGCAGUAAACUCAGGGUUUGUGGGCACUCUGUGCAAUGUUAUAGUCCUCCAAAUGGUUGUGUUUAGUGUGAUUUCUAUGGUUGUUCAUAAGGGAUGGGCCAUUUCGUUGGAACUCCGGAUGAUUUUGGUAGCCUUUGAUGUUGUAUUGGCUGUAGGGUGUCUUCUGGUGAUUGGUUCUAGCUUACGUGAAGUUUAUACAACUUUGAAUGCAUAUGCUGAUAUGCUUAAAAGGGUGAGUCCUUACAUUAGUAUUAGUAAUAGUGAUGAAUGGCUACUUAAGUAUCAAAUUCCAUUUCACAUGUGUGUUAUUAUUUCAUACUUCUUCCUCCGUUUCUUCUACUUGCUGGUACUGCUUUUUUUUAAUUAGUUCAAUUUAGUAUUGGAACUUCAGACUUUGAACCUUAAUUGGUUCUCUUUGAUUUUGUAGACAUUUACAUCCUUUUAUGUUAGAGGAGUAAAAGACAUAGUAACUUUUUUUUUUUU